AAUACGUUCCCGGGCCUUGUACACACCGCCCGUCAAGUCACGAAAGUCGGUAACACCCGAAGCCGGUGGCCCAACCUUUUGGAGGGAGCCGUCGAAGGUGGGACUGGCGAUUGGGACU
This 118-nucleotide ribosomal RNA is filed under the name uncultured bacterium. RNAcentral's name for it is "partial 16S ribosomal RNA". It matches the Rfam family "Bacterial small subunit ribosomal RNA", at positions 1365 to 1482 of the family's 1533-position model. The record is from RNAcentral.